RNAcentral lists this ribosomal RNA (618 nucleotides) under Escherichia coli. RNAcentral's name for it is "partial 23S ribosomal RNA". It matches the Rfam family "Bacterial large subunit ribosomal RNA", at positions 2259 to 2871 of the family's 2925-position model. RNAcentral also lists the same sequence under 1 other name. Lineage: Bacteria; Pseudomonadati; Pseudomonadota; Gammaproteobacteria; Enterobacterales; Enterobacteriaceae. The record is from RNAcentral.
UGGUGGGUAGUUUGACUGGGGCGGUCUCCUCCUAAAGAGUAACGGAGGAGCACGAAGGUUGGCUAAUCCUGGUCGGACAUCAGGAGGUUAGUGCAAUGGCAUAAGCCAGCUUGACUGCGAGCGUGACGGCGCGAGCAGGUGCGAAAGCAGGUCAUAGUGAUCCGGUGGUUCUGAAUGGAAGGGCCAUCGCUCAACGGAUAAAAGGUACUCCGGGGAUAACAGGCUGAUACCGCCCAAGAGUUCAUAUCGACGGCGGUGUUUGGCACCUCGAUGUCGGCUCAUCACAUCCUGGGGCUGAAGUAGGUCCCAAGGGUAUGGCUGUUCGCCAUUUAAAGUGGUACGCGAGCUGGGUUUAGAACGUCGUGAGACAGUUCGGUCCCUAUCUGCCGUGGGCGCUGGAGAACUGAGGGGGGCUGCUCCUAGUACGAGAGGACCGGAGUGGACGCAUCACUGGUGUUCGGGUUGUCAUGCCAAUGGCACUGCCCGGUAGCUAAAUGCGGAAGAGAUAAGUGCUGAAAGCAUCUAAGCACGAAACUUGCCCCGAGAUGAGUUCUCCCUGACCCUUUAAGGGUCCUGAAGGAACGUUGAAGACGACGACGUUGAUAGGCCGGGUGUGUA